Molecule: long non-coding RNA, 3861 nt
Organism: Carassius gibelio (silver crucian carp)
Lineage: Eukaryota; Metazoa; Chordata; Actinopteri; Cypriniformes; Cyprinidae
Exons: 10
Source: RefSeq, a predicted model, not a curated record
GUCAGCACAUGUACGUCUGGCCGACGUCGGCCCAAUAUCGAAACGUCGGCCUCUAUACCUAAAACAUCUAUAAAACAUCGGCCUGGCGGAGGCCGAUAUAAUUUGGUCAGUGCUCUGCUCUCCAGCUCAUCAAUCGUCGGCCCUGAGUUGGUUCACGACUGCGGGCCGAUGCCGCGCUUAUCUGUGUGCGCGUGCCCAGUAUUCGUCUCUUUUAGCCACCCAGAGAGAGAGAAGAGGAUAAUCCCAGCGACAACUGAGACUUUCAGGCUUCCAGAAAUAAUCCGGUGAAAUAAUAUGAUGUUUCUUUGUGUAAAUGCUGUGUGUGCGUUGAGUCCUGCGAGAGCGGGGAGCAGAGUUGCCAUGGAAACGGGGCAUCAACACAAAAACCGUUACUGGCAAGCAGUAAUCUCCGUCUCUUGCUGUAGUUUACACUGUUUUGGAAACGGUUUAGUGUCUUCGGAAAAGUCCGUUAUCACUUUAGCAGUUUUCAGGUAACGUUAGGCUAACGUUAACUAUAUAGAUUGAGCUCUUGUUGAUGAAACUCUGGGCUUUUAAUCUAAUCUUCGAUUUGAUUAAAACAAAAGGAUUUUUAAAUUAAUUAUUGAAUGAUUAUUGAACGAGACUGUACAUUAUAAAUGCUUUAACUCUAGAUGUUUGUUUGUGUAAAUGCUGUGUGCGCGUUGAGUCCUGCGAGAGCGGGGAGCAGAGUUGCCAUGGAAACGGGGCAUCAACACAAAAACCGUUACUGGCAAGCAGUAAUCUCCGUCUCUUGCUGCAGUUUACACUGUUUUGGAAACGGUUUAGUUUCUUCGGAAAAGUCCGUUAGCAUUUUAGCGGUUUUCAGGAGGACAGAAAUAAACUCUACAGAACAGAAGUGAAGCUCCAAGAUUUCAACAUUUCUGAAGGGAGAUUCUGACUUAGAAAUACAGGUGACCUGAAGAAGCUCAUGAAAAAACAUGAAUAUGCCUUUUUCAGAAUACAUUUCACCAAUUUUAAGAAGUCCCUGACAUCAUAACCUUGUUUCCUUCUAAUGAACCUGGAACUGUAGAGUAAAUAUUGUUGACUCUGUGUCAGAUUGCUUGUUUUGUUCCUGGAUUCUUCAGUGAUGACGAUCAGAGUCUGAGUGAACCUGCUGUCAGACAGGUUGGCCUGAUUGACGAUGCCAUCGUCCAUCGCCGAUGGCUGAUAGACAUCACGAUGCUGCGCCGGAAACAGCAUCAUCAGCUCCAGUAUCUCGCCCGUGCAUCUGUUGUCAUGCGACAGAGAAGUCACGUUCUAUAGACAGUUUCUAUAGACAGUUGUGAACGUGCUGACAGCUGGUUGCCCAGGCUAUGGAUUAAAGGUAAUACUGUUGGCCAGCAGAGCCCUGCUCACCCUGACGGCCCACUGCUGCUGUCAGACAACAUCUCCAAGAUGCUAUAAACUGCAGGACCAGAUGGCCACCGCAAGGUUUCUAGAGAUUACAGCAGCUCCAGACUGAAUCCAAACUCACUCGUGAAGACUUCAGAUGAGACCAACGCUCACAAAGACUACAGACGACAACUGUACAUGAACACACAAAACAAAUAUUAUCCUUAUUUUGCCUAUAAGGGUAAAUUUGAUGAUUUUCAAACUGCUUUAUUGUAACGUCUCUUAUAUCUGUAAAUGAACAAUAUUUACUCUCUGAGUUAUGUGGACCUACAUGUCCCCUUUUAUUUGUAAGCAUCACUUUAAAAAUGUUGAAAGAUAAUGUUAAUGUUAACUGAAUACAAAACUAGAGACUUGUUUAGUAAGAUUUUAUCAGAAAAUAUUUUUGAACUUUUAUCAUGCAAUUUAAAACAUUUUAAUUGCUUAAUUAGUAUUGUUUGCCUGGUUUUAUUUUGUGUUUAUGUAACUCUUUUUAAAAAGUUCUUGGCAUAAAGUUAGCAUGCGAUGCUGACAGCACUGAACACAUGACUUUUUAUUAUGAACUAGAUGGUCUUCUCAGUGAGUCUCAGUCAUCUCUGGCUUUUUAAACUGUAACCUUGAAACAUGCAUUUCUGUAAACCUACUUUGAAAUAAGUAUUGUCAAAAGGUGCUAUACUCAUACAACAUUUAACCAGAGAUGUAUAGUAACGAAGUAGAACUACUUCACUACUGUACUUAAGUACUAAAAGGCGGUAUCUGUACUUUACUAGAGUAUUAUUUUUUUCUCCUACUUCCACUUUUACUUCGGUACAUAUUUUCGCUGAGUUUAAUACUUUUACUCCGAUAUUUUUUUUAUGUGCUGCAUCGUUACUCGUUACAAUUAUAAUAAUGUUACGAAUCAUUCCAUUACAAACCACUGCCAGAACUGUAGAUGGCAGGUUUGAUGAAGCUGCCACAUCAUUGAGCGAAUCAAGCGAGACUGCGCGUGCUGACUGAACUGCUGUGAAGAGAGAGAUGAACACCGAGCCGAGCCAGAUAAUUUCUCGUUCACGAGUCAAGAACCGGUUGCAUCGGUUCUCGGGUGACCAGUAACGUUAGUUCUUUCUGACAGUUCGAUUCAAUAAACCAGUUGAAGAAAACAGUUCACCGAUUCUUUUGCGCUCGAUGCAAUGGCGUCAUUGGCGUUGUCUGCACAUGGGCUCAUAACAUUAACACAGAAUCAGUUCAGAAUCAAUCACCAAAAGAAUCAGUUCGGUUCCAGACGCUCUGUGUGUCGGUUUGCUUCACGCUAAAUCACACAUGCGCAGUAUCAUCAGCUCCUCGGUUCACGAAUCGGACGCGUCUGACAGAAACGGUUCUUGACUCGUGAACGAGUCAUUAUCUGGCUCGGCUCGGUGUUCAUCUUCAGUUCUCUCUUCACAUCAGUUCAGUCAGUCUACUGUUUGAGUCAAUGAAUUACUCCGGGAUAUUGGUUUGUUUUAACUCAGAGGGAGUGUCAGACACAUUAAACAAGUUAACAGCUUAAUUCAUCUGUGGAUUAAUGCGUAUUGGAAACGCGAACCGUUUAAAACGAUUCAGUUCGAUUUGGUGAACUGUUUCAAAAAGAUCCGGUUACAUCGAAUGAUUCGUUCGCGAACCAGAUAUCACAAACUGCUUUGUUUUUAACUGUCUUACAACAGACACGGAAGAGAAGACAAUGCUGAAUAAAGUCAUAGUUUUUGCUAUUUUUGGACCAAAAUGUAUUUUCCAUGCUUCAAAAAAUUCUAAAUUACCCUUCUGAUGUCUUAUGGGUUUGAAACAACAUGAGGGUAAGUUAUUAAUGACAUCAUUUUGCAAAUUGGGCUAACUAACCCUAGUAACAGUUUUUUGUUUACAAGAAGUUACAGUCAAAGGAUUUGUGAUUGUCCUUUAGGUUAAUCAUUUGAAAUAGUAAAAACAAAAUGUUCAAACUUUUGACUUCUUUCUUUAAUAGCUACAUAACACAAUACUUCUACUUUUACUUUCAGUACUUGAGUAGUAAAUUUUAAAAUAGACUACUUGCAAUACUUAAGUACAAAAAAUGUUGAAUACUUUAGUACUUCUACUUAAGUGUGGUGCUUAAAGAGCACUUCUACUUCUACUCAAGUCACUUUUUUGAUAGAGCACUUGUACUUUUACUCAAGUAUGGUUCUCUAGUACUUUAUACAUCUCUGCAUUUAACCAUGCAAGUACUGUAGUAAUGGUUAUUUUUGUUUUUAAUAUGGGUUUACUGCAAAAGCUGUAGUAAAAUCAUGGUGAUUGUAGUAAAACUAUGGUUGAUUUUGUUUUUCUAUGGUUUUACUGCAAAAGCUGUAGUAAAAUCAUGGUUAAUGUUCAAAAGACUACAAAUAAUCCCGAAUUAUCCACUUUUGAUCAAAGCAUCUGGUAAAUGUUAUUGUAUUUGUACAUGUAAUAUGAAAUAAAUGAAAAUAUUAAUAAAGUUGCGUCUGUUCUUGA